UAAGAAUCUUCCCCAAUGGCCGAAAGCCUGCCGGAGCGACGCCGCGUGGCCGAUGAAGGCCGUGAGGUGGUAAAGUCCUUUUCGGGGGGGGGAAGGAGGUCCGCGGGGAAGGGCGGGCCGAUGACGGGACCCCCGGAAUAAGCCCCGGCUACCUCCGUGCCAGCAGCCGCGGUAACACGUAGGGGGCGAGCGUUGUUCGGAAUCAUUGGGCGUAAAGGGCGCGCAGGCGGCGAGGCAAGUCCGGUGUGAAAGUGCUCGGCUCAACCGAGUGAUGCGCUGGAAACUGCCCUGCUUGAGUACAGGAGGGGACGUCGGAAUUCCAGGUGUAGGGGUGAAAUCUGUAGAUAUCUGGAAGAACACCGGUGGCGAAGGCGGACGUCUGGCCAUGUACUGACGCUGAGGCGCGAAGGUGUGGGGAGCGAACA
RNAcentral lists this ribosomal RNA (425 nucleotides) under uncultured Sphaerochaeta sp. RNAcentral describes it as "bacterial SSU rRNA". It matches the Rfam family "Bacterial small subunit ribosomal RNA", at positions 356 to 774 of the family's 1533-position model. The record is from RNAcentral. Lineage: Bacteria; Pseudomonadati; Spirochaetota; Spirochaetia; Spirochaetales; Sphaerochaetaceae.